This is a long non-coding RNA of Daucus carota subsp. sativus, 453 nucleotides long. RefSeq lists it as uncharacterized. The record is from RefSeq and is a predicted model, not a curated record. NCBI's taxonomy places the organism in Eukaryota, Viridiplantae, Streptophyta, Magnoliopsida, Apiales, Apiaceae. The transcript is spliced from 2 exons.
UUAGAAUUGGAUUAGUUUUUAUAAAAUAUGUGGACCAGAUUCGUGGUCAGACCAGAUUCGUGGUCAAUUAUAGGCCAAAUUGUGCCUUGGAUCCAGUAUAGAGAGCAGGGCUGUGUGCCAUGUUCGGGGUUAGUGCGUGACUGAUCAGCAGCCUAACCUUUGGUUUUUAAGUAAAAAUGUGAUGAAUCCAAUUCGACAAUUCUUCUAAAAGCUUAGAGAUGAAUUGCUUGAUUGAGAUUGCGAGUAUGGCUAAGGCUAAGCGAGGAGUCAGAGUUAUAGAAUAUCCAGAAGACAAGUGGAAUGUCCAGGGAGAUUGUCAAGGUUGGUUCUAGAUAGAAUUGUAUUGAUGAGAUUCAGUUGUAAGUCAUAAUUGAAAUAGAUUGACAGUGACUCUUCUUAUCGAAGAUGAUCUGAGAUUGUAAGACAUUGUUUAUUUAUAGUGGUUGAUUCUAA